Medicago truncatula (barrel medic) is the source of this 1076-nucleotide RNA transcript. It is a transcript of the gene named DNA polymerase epsilon subunit 4, with no coding region annotated. Lineage: Eukaryota; Viridiplantae; Streptophyta; Magnoliopsida; Fabales; Fabaceae. The record is from RefSeq and is a predicted model, not a curated record. The transcript has 5 exons.
AGCAUUAACAGAUUUUUCGGGUCGAACUGGGCCAUAUUAUUUCAAACCGAAUUACCCGUACGUUUCAUCUUCAAAACCCGGUUCGUACAGAAAGUAAACCCUUGUGUCAGAAACACCGUGAAAGUGAACUCAGUGUAAGCUGAAAGGAAAAGUGCUUGUACUGAAUAAUCACUUAUCAAAGUAAAAUCACAAUGGCUUCUUCCAACAAUUCAGUAGCAGAAAACAACAAGAAGAAAACCAAAAAACCACAAACCUCAACUCCUACAAGCAAAAUCAAGAAAGACAACAAAAACAUUGAAAAAUCCAAAGAAAACAACAACAAGAAUAAGAAGAAGCUCAAUUUCACAAAUGGAAAUUCCAAAGAACAGGAAGAAAGUGGAAGAAAAAAGAAACAUGCAAAGGAUGAUGACGAAGAAGAAGAUGCGAAAACGCAUGUGUUUCCUAUGAAUCGAAUUAGGACGAUGUUAAAGGGUGAAAUUAGCGAUUUGCGUGUUUCUCAGGAAGCUAUAUUGGCUAUUAACAAUGCUGCGGAGAAGUUUCUUGAACAAUUAGCGGAAGAUGCUUAUGGUUGUUGUGCUCAGGAUCGGAAGAAAUCUUUGAGCUACAAUCAUCUAUGGUCAAAUGGUUCAGAGAUAUGGUAAAAUCAUUAAACUUCUUCAGUGCUGUAAACUAGAAAAGGGAAUGGUGGAGCACGUGUUGUUAGUAAGCAAAAAAGAUAUGACUUUCUGUCCGACUUUGUUCCUGAGAAAGUGAAAGCUGAGGAUGCAUUAAGAGAGACAAACUCAAGAGGGAAUAAAGGAGGUUAGGAAAUGUAAAACACAGAAAGUGGUGAACCUAAGUCAAUUCUUUUGUUAAACACAUUCUGAAAUGGAAACAUGUAUGAUGGUUAGUACUUAGUAAUGCACUGUUUUACAUCUCCAUAGUGUAUUUACCGUUGCACUCUUCUUUAAAGCUUCCAUCUCAUAUGGCUAGAUUUUUCUUUUCUUGCUGUGGCUAUGCGAACUUGAUGCUUGACAUUUGUAACGGUUAUUUUCGUUUUUAUUUUUAUGCUGAAAAUCCCAUGGGAAGAUAGAAAA